GACCACACGAGGCUUUGGGGGGACGUCUGUGUGUCCCGGACCCCUUUCUCUCUCCCAUGGCUUUGUGUGCCUGUGACCUGCACAGGGCACCAUGAGCGAGGCGCCACAGGUUUCUCUGCUGCCACUGCAGACCUGGCUAUGACCUCAGCAUGGGUCCCAGGGGUGCCCCAGAGAACAAAGCUGACGUACAGCAGCAUUGUGAUUCUCAUUUCCAUCACAAAAGGCCAGUAGAAAAACUAUGCAAUCGCACUAAACACUAUUUAAAAACACUUAAAACAUCCCGCUUCUGCUUCCGGGCUCCAAGUCCCUCAGCCACAGUUCCUCAGCCUCUCAGUACCUGCUGUGCUUGCUUUCUGACCUAGGCUGGCUGGGGGAGAGAACAGUCUGGCCCGCACAGCUCAGAUCCAGGUAGCUGACUCGGACAAGGAGCUACAUGAAGCUGAGUGGGCUGGUGCAGCCUGUGAUCCCAGCUCUCAGGAGGCUGAGGCAGGAGGAGCACUGAGCUACCACACACGAAGAGCAUCUUAGACAGCAGCGCACGGACAGCAGCGAGGAGACGCAGCAACAGCACGGUCAAGGCCACACGGCGUCAAGCGCGGCGGCUUACUUUCUCUCCGGCCGUGGGCAGCGCCAGCACCGCGCUCCAGCCCACAGGAGGCCCGGGCACUGGUGGCCGCAGCUGCGGAAUUCUGAGCUCCGCACUGUGAUCGCCCCGAAGGCAGCCGCCACCCAGCACAGGAAAAAGAACAGAAGACCCCAGGGAAAGGUCUCCAUUUGUCUCUGGACUUGGCAGAGGAUACGGCACUCGUAUAGAUGGCUUUCUCCAGGGCCCGCACCCCCGGGAAGAAUACAACUACUGGGUGAUGGCCCUGCCCUCUCUGGGCCCCUCUGGACCCCUCUGCCUGCGGACUGACGCACUCUCUGCCUGUCAUGAGUCACGUGACCUCGACCAGAUGAGGGUGCAGAAGCCACCGCCCUCACGAGGGGAAGGGUGCUCUUCUCCUUCUCUUCUCCUUCCCCCCACCUUCUCCCCAUCUCAUGGAUGCAAACCCCUGCCGACCCCGGAACACAGCAACACUGUCAGAGUGAGACCCAGGGACCAAGACCUCACAUCUGCUGGGAACAUGGGCCCAAGCAGGGGCGGGGACACCCUGUGCCCGGGCCGGGCGCUCACCUUGCCCCGUGACUUCUGUCUA
Molecule: long non-coding RNA, 1196 nt
Filed under: Heterocephalus glaber (naked mole-rat)
Lineage: Eukaryota; Metazoa; Chordata; Mammalia; Rodentia; Bathyergidae
Description: lncRNA (ENSHGLG00000033376.1)
Source: RNAcentral